AGUGAACGCUGGCGGUAGGCCUAACACAUGCAAGUCGAACGGCAGCACAGUAAGAGCUUGCUCUUACGGGUGGCGAGUGGCGGACGGGUGAGGAAUACAUCGGAAUCUACUUUUUCGUGGGGGAUCACGUAGGGAAACUUACGCUAAUAUCGCAUACGACCUACGGGUGAAAGCAGGGGAUCUUCGGACCUUGCGCGAUUGAAUGCGCCGAUGUCGGAUUAGCUAGUUGGCGGGGUAAAGGCCCACCAAGGCGACGAUCCGUAGCUGGUCUGAGAGGAUGAUCGGCGACACUGGAACUGGAACACGGUCCAGACUCCUACGGGAGGGAGCAGUGGGGAAUAGGAGGCAGUGGGCGCAAGCAUGAUCCAGCCAGACCGCGUGGGUGGAGAAGGCCUUCGGGUUGUAAAGCCCUUUUGUGGGGAAAGAAAAGCAGCAGGUUAAUACCCCGCUGGUCUGACGGUACCCAAAGAAUAAGCACCGGCUAACUUCGUG
Molecule: ribosomal RNA, 492 nt
Filed under: uncultured bacterium
Lineage: Bacteria
Description: partial 16S ribosomal RNA
Rfam family: Bacterial small subunit ribosomal RNA
Source: RNAcentral